RNAcentral lists this ribosomal RNA (459 nucleotides) under uncultured bacterium. RNAcentral's name for it is "partial 16S ribosomal RNA". It matches the Rfam family "Bacterial small subunit ribosomal RNA", at positions 338 to 795 of the family's 1533-position model. The record is from RNAcentral.
CCUACGGGUGGCAGCAGUGAGGAAUAUUGGUCAAUGGACGAGAGUCUGAACCAGCCAAGUAGCGUGAAGGAUGACUGCCCUAUGGGUUGUAAACUUCUUUUAUAUGGGAAUAAAAUGUUCCACGUGUGGGAUUUUGUAUGUACCAUAUGAAUAAGGAUCGGCUAACUCCGUGCCAGCAGCCGCGGUAAUACGGAGGAGCCGAGCGUUAUCCGGAUUUAUUGGGUUUAAAGGGAGCGUAGGUGGAUUGUUAAGUCAGUUGUGAAAGUUUGCGGCUCAACCGUAAAAUUGCAGUUGAAACUGGCAGUCUUGAGUACAGUAGAGGUGGGCGGAAUUCGUGGUGUAGCGGUGAAAUGCUUAGAUAUCACGAAGAACUCCGAUUGCGAAGGCAGUUCACUGGACUGCAACUGACACUGAGGCUCGAAAGUGUGGGUAUCAAACAGGAUUAGAUACCGUGUAGUC